Molecule: ribosomal RNA, 2923 nt
Filed under: Klebsiella pneumoniae
Lineage: Bacteria; Pseudomonadati; Pseudomonadota; Gammaproteobacteria; Enterobacterales; Enterobacteriaceae
Description: bacterial LSU rRNA
Rfam family: Bacterial large subunit ribosomal RNA
Source: RNAcentral
GGGUUGUGAGGUUAAGCGACUAAGCGUACACGGUGGAUGCCCUGGCAGUCAGAGGCGAUGAAGGACGUGCUAAUCUGCGAAAAGCGUCGGUAAGGUGAUAUGAACCGUUACAGCCGGCGAUGUCCGAAUGGGGAAACCCAGUGCAAUUCGUUGCACUAUCGUUAACUGAAUACAUAGGUUAACGAGGCGAACCGGGGGAACUGAAACAUCUAAGUACCCCGAGGAAAAGAAAUCAACCGAGAUUCCCCCAGUAGCGGCGAGCGAACGGGGAGCAGCCCAGAGUCUGAAUCAGCUUGUGUGUUAGUGGAACGGUCUGGAAAGUCCGACGGUACAGGGUGAUAGUCCCGUACACCAAAAUGCACAGGUUGUGAACUCGAAGAGUAGGGCGGGACACGUGGUAUCCUGUCUGAAUAUGGGGGGACCAUCCUCCAAGGCUAAAUACUCCUGACUGACCGAUAGUGAACCAGUACCGUGAGGGAAAGGCGAAAAGAACCCCGGCGAGGGGAGUGAAAAAGAACCUGAAACCGUGUACGUACAAGCAGUGGGAGCACCUUCGGGUGUGACUGCGUACCUUUUGUAUAAUGGGUCAGCGACUUAUAUUCUGUAGCAAGGUUAACCGUAUAGGGGAGCCGCAGGGAAACCGAGUCUUAACUGGGCGUUAAGUUGCAGGGUAUAGACCCGAAACCCGGUGAUCUAGCCAUGGGCAGGUUGAAGGUUGGGUAACACUAACUGGAGGACCGAACCGACUAAUGUUGAAAAAUUAGCGGAUGACUUGUGGCUGGGGGUGAAAGGCCAAUCAAACCGGGAGAUAGCUGGUUCUCCCCGAAAGCUAUUUAGGUAGCGCCUCGUGAACUCAUCUUCGGGGGUAGAGCACUGUUUCGGCUAGGGGGUCAUCCCGACUUACCAACCCGAUGCAAACUACGAAUACCGAAGAAUGUUAUCACGGGAGACACACGGCGGGUGCUAACGUCCGUCGUGAAGAGGGAAACAACCCAGACCGCCAGCUAAGGUCCCAAAGUCAUGGUUAAGUGGGAAACGAUGUGGGAAGGCACAGACAGCCAGGAUGUUGGCUUAGAAGCAGCCAUCAUUUAAAGAAAGCGUAAUAGCUCACUGGUCGAGUCGGCCUGCGCGGAAGAUGUAACGGGGCUAAACCAUGCACCGAAGCUGCGGCAGCGACACUAUGUGUUGUUGGGUAGGGGAGCGUUCUGUAAGCCUGCGAAGGUGUGCUGUGAGGCAUGCUGGAGGUAUCAGAAGUGCGAAUGCUGACAUAAGUAACGAUAAAGCGGGUGAAAAGCCCGCUCGCCGGAAGACCAAGGGUUCCUGUCCAACGUUAAUCGGGGCAGGGUGAGUCGACCCCUAAGGCGAGGCCGAAAGGCGUAGUCGAUGGGAAACAGGUUAAUAUUCCUGUACUUGGUGUUACUGCGAAGGGGGGACGGAGAAGGCUAUGUUAGCCGGGCGACGGUUGUCCCGGUUUAAGCAUGUAGGCUGGUUGUCCAGGCAAAUCCGGAUAAUCAAGGCUGAGGUGUGAUGACGAGGCACUACGGUGCUGAAGUAACAAAUGCCCUGCUUCCAGGAAAAGCCUCUAAGCAUCAGGUAACAUUAAAUCGUACCCCAAACCGACACAGGUGGUCAGGUAGAGAAUACCAAGGCGCUUGAGAGAACUCGGGUGAAGGAACUAGGCAAAAUGGUGCCGUAACUUCGGGAGAAGGCACGCUGGUGUGUAGGUGAAGUCCCUGCGGAUGGAGCUGAGACCAGUCGAAGAUACCAGCUGGCUGCAACUGUUUAUUAAAAACACAGCACUGUGCAAACACGAAAGUGGACGUAUACGGUGUGACGCCUGCCCGGUGCCGGAAGGUUAAUUGAUGGGGUUAUCCGUAAGGAGAAGCUCUUGAUCGAAGCCCCGGUAAACGGCGGCCGUAACUAUAACGGUCCUAAGGUAGCGAAAUUCCUUGUCGGGUAAGUUCCGACCUGCACGAAUGGCGUAAUGAUGGCCAGGCUGUCUCCACCCGAGACUCAGUGAAAUUGAACUCGCUGUGAAGAUGCAGUGUACCCGCGGCAAGACGGAAAGACCCCGUGAACCUUUACUAUAGCUUGACACUGAACAUUGAGCCUUGAUGUGUAGGAUAGGUGGGAGGCUUUGAAGCGUGGACGCCAGUCUGCGUGGAGCCAACCUUGAAAUACCACCCUUUAAUGUUUGAUGUUCUAACGUUGGCCCCUGACCGGGGUUGCGGACAGUGUCUGGUGGGUAGUUUGACUGGGGCGGUCUCCUCCCAAAGCGUAACGGAGGAGCACGAAGGUUAGCUAAUCCUGGUCGGACAUCAGGAGGUUAGUGCAAUGGCAUAAGCUAGCUUGACUGCGAGCGUGACGGCGCGAGCAGGUGCGAAAGCAGGUCAUAGUGAUCCGGUGGUUCUGAAUGGAAGGGCCAUCGCUCAACGGAUAAAAGGUACUCCGGGGAUAACAGGCUGAUACCGCCCAAGAGUUCAUAUCGACGGCGGUGUUUGGCACCUCGAUGUCGGCUCAUCACAUCCUGGGGCUGAAGUAGGUCCCAAGGGUAUGGCUGUUCGCCAUUUAAAGUGGUACGCGAGCUGGGUUUAGAACGUCGUGAGACAGUUCGGUCCCUAUCUGCCGUGGGCGCUGGAGAAUUGAGGGGGGCUGCUCCUAGUACGAGAGGACCGGAGUGGACGCAUCACUGGUGUUCGGGUUGUCAUGCCAAUGGCACUGCCCGGUAGCUAAAUGCGGAAGAGAUAAGUGCUGAAAGCAUCUAAGCACGAAACUUGCCCCGAGAUGAGUUCUCCCUGAGACUUUAAGUCUCCUGAAGGAACGUUGAAGACGACGACGUUGAUAGGCCGGGUGUGUAAGCGCAGCGAUGCGUUGAGCUAACCGGUACUAAUGAACCGUGAGGCUUAACCUUACAACGCCGAAG